CCCUGCCUGGCAAGAUAGCAGGCUGCUAACAUGGGGUGCCCGUGUCCAGGUCAUUGAUAGCGCAGGGAAAGGAUUUGCUGAAAGUGUUUCCCAUGUUUGGAGGAUCCCUUCCUGUCCCUUCCAAACCUGGAGCAUUCCCGCA
Small nucleolar RNA from Leptonychotes weddellii (Weddell seal), 142 nucleotides. RefSeq annotates it as small nucleolar RNA SNORA71. Lineage: Eukaryota; Metazoa; Chordata; Mammalia; Carnivora; Phocidae. The record is from RefSeq and is a predicted model, not a curated record.